GUAGUCCACGCCGUAAACGAUGAGUGCUAAGUGUUAGAGGGUUUCCGCCCUUUAGUGCUGCAGCUAACGCAUUAAGCACUCCGCCUGGGGAGUACGGUCGCAAGACUGAAACUCAAAGGAAUUGACGGGGGCCCGCACAAGCGGUGGAGCAUGUGGUUUAAUUCGAAGCAACGCGAAGAACCUUACCAGGUCUUGACAUCCUCUGCCACCUCUAGAGAUAGAGCGUUCCCCUUCGGGGGACAGAGUGACAGGUGGUGCAUGGUUGUCGUCAGCUCGUGUCGUGAGAUGUUGGGUUAAGUCCCGCAACGAGCGCAACCCUUGUUCUUAGUUGCCAGCAUUCAGUUGGGCACUCUAAGGAGACUGCCGGUGACAAACCGGA
RNAcentral lists this ribosomal RNA (379 nucleotides) under uncultured bacterium. RNAcentral's name for it is "bacterial SSU rRNA". It matches the Rfam family "Bacterial small subunit ribosomal RNA", at positions 790 to 1167 of the family's 1533-position model. The record is from RNAcentral.